Long non-coding RNA from Cyprinus carpio carpio, 500 nucleotides. The record is from Ensembl. Lineage: Eukaryota; Metazoa; Chordata; Actinopteri; Cypriniformes; Cyprinidae.
AUGCACUGGACAAUUUUGAGAUUUUGGGCUGUUUGGCUUUGCAUAACAUGUAAUUUCAGACAAGUGGAAAGAAAAAAUCCAAAGCACACAUUUAAGUGUUUAUUUCAUUCUCUUUGUGUCUGUAGAUUUCAAUUCGUAUCUUUAAAGGCCAGGAGCUUUUUCUCCACUUCAGCCGCAUUUACACACACCAGACUUAAGAGUUUUAUUUCUAUCUGUAUUUUGAAGGUUUUUAUAGAGGGGUUUGUGCAUAUAUCAUUCACCUGGUCUUAUCAUUGCACUUUAUAUAUUUAUUAUUAUUAUUAUUAUUUUUUAUAUAAGACUACAUUGUUUUUUUUUUUUUUUUUAGUUCAUUUUUUAUUUAUUAGUUUUAGUUAUUUUAGUACUUCAAGUUAAACUAAAUAAAAUACCAUAGAGAAACACAAUUAGUUACUUUUUUAUUAAGUAACACAAUAUUGUAAUGUAUUAUUUUUAAAAUUAACUUUCCCCAAGACUGGAUGCUA